UAAGCCACUUUUUCAUAGCAGCAGCCAGCACCUGCAAAGGCAGCGUUUGCCUUCUCUCCCCAGCCAGCUCUUUAGAAUCACUAAUUGGAGAAACAGCUUCUAAGGCCAGAAGGAACCACUGUGAUCAUCUAGGCUGACCCCCUGUAUAACCCGGGUCAUAGAACCUCUCUGAAUUCAUUCCCAUUUGAACUAAUCAUUUAGAAAAACAUCCAAUCUUGAUGUAAAGGUGUCCAAUGAUGGAGAGUCCACCACAACCCUGGCGGGGCCUCACUGACUCUUCUUCUCCAUGCCUGGAGGCUCAUCAGCUUUGAUCCAGGACCUGCUCACAGAUGAACAGAACAAUCAUCAGCAUCCUCUGUCUGUUUCAUUCAUCCACUCAUGGUUGUCAUCUCACCGGGCCGGCUCCAGGCACCAGCUGAUCAGGACCUGCCUACCACUGCUUCUUGCUCUCCUGCUUUCCCUGCAAGGGGAAGUUAGUCGGGUUAUGGGGCAUGCUCCCCAUACUGCUCCAUGGAGCCAGAGCUGGAGUCCAUCUUGCAGCCAUGGAGUGGGGAGGUGGGUAGUCAGAAGCCAAGGCUUGUGAGUUGGGUUGCUGCAGAACAGUGCAGCAUUCAGGUCCCAGAGAGAUGAGCAUUUUAUACUCCCCUCUUCCCCGUCAAAUGUGAGGUAGGAAGUGGGGGAAGAGGUUCUGAGCCGAGCCUCCUUGACAGCAUCAUGGGCCUGGGGAGUGGAGACAGCUGCCUGGAGAGCACAGCGAAAAAAAACAUCCCCAGAAAUAAUUACUGUCAAAAAUAGCCAGGCAAUCUGAAUAGCUGAAUUCAUCGACAGUUGUGUGUGUUGGUGGGGGGAUGGGAUGGAAGGGUAUUCCAUGGCAAUAGUACAGCGGUUCUCACACUGUGGGUCAGGACCCCAAAGUGGGUCGUGACCCCAUUUCAAUGGGGUCGCCAGGGCUGGCUUAGACUU
This is a long non-coding RNA of Trachemys scripta elegans, 963 nucleotides long. RefSeq lists it as uncharacterized. The transcript is spliced from 4 exons. Lineage: Eukaryota; Metazoa; Chordata; Testudines; Emydidae. The record is from RefSeq and is a predicted model, not a curated record.